CACCUACUCAGCUCUAUUACAUGUUGGAAAAACUGAACCAGAGAAACAAUUACAUACACUCUUGUCUUCUGGAAAAGCUGAAUUGGGUUUUGGUCUGAAUCAAUAGGACCCAUUAUACAGGCUGCCUUUCCAGCUCUCCAAUCAUACUUCCAAGAAAACUGCUCACUCUCAGAACCAAGGUUCAAGUUGUACAUUGGGAUUUGGGUAGAGGCUAUAUAUACAGUGAUGCCCAUCUACCCCUGAGAUCUAAAAAUCUAAGAUGAAAACGAGCACACAGUCUUGGCAGCAUUGGGGUAACAGACUAUGAAAGAAGAAAUCAGAUUGGAAAAUUCAGUAUAUCAAUGAAGAAAAUAAUCACUCAAGGAGAGGAAUAAACAGCAAAACAAUCUA
This 390-nucleotide long non-coding RNA is filed under the name Homo sapiens (human). RNAcentral describes it as "long intergenic non-protein coding RNA 2046". Lineage: Eukaryota; Metazoa; Chordata; Mammalia; Primates; Hominidae. The record is from RNAcentral.